Cyprinus carpio carpio is the source of this 55-nucleotide small nuclear RNA. Its record names the gene U7. It matches the Rfam family "U7 small nuclear RNA". From Rfam's summary of the family: Animal histone pre-mRNAs are spliced by a different mechanism than nuclear pre-mRNAs and self-splicing introns. This processing involves the U7 snRNP, which contains only one RNA species: U7. The 5' end of U7 RNA is thought to base-pair to a conserved spacer element downstream of the cleavage site in histone pre-mRNA. The record is from Ensembl. Lineage: Eukaryota; Metazoa; Chordata; Actinopteri; Cypriniformes; Cyprinidae.
GGAAAUUAGCUCUUUUAGUAUUUGUCUAGCAGGUUUUCUUUAAUAGAAAACCCAU